ACGGAAGGCAGCAGUGGAGAAUAUUGCACAAUGGGGGAAACCCUGAUGCAGCGACGCCGCGUGAGUGAAGAAGUAUUUCGGUAUGUAAAGCUCUAUCAGCAGGGAAGAAAAUGACGGUACCUGACUAAGAAGCCCCGGCUAACUACGUGCCAGCAGCCGCGGUAAUACGUAGGGGGCAAGCGUUAUCCGGAUUUACUGGGUGUAAAGGGAGCGUAGACGGCAAGGUAAGUCUGAAGUGAAAUGCCGGGGCUCAACCCCGGAACUGCUUUGGAAACUAUCUCGCUCGAGUACCGGAGGGGUAAGCGGAAUUCCUAGUGUAGCGGUGAAAUGCGUAGAUAUUAGGAGGAACACCAGUGGCGAAGGCGGCUUACUGGACAGUAACUGACGUUGAGGCUCGAAAGCGUGGGGAGCAAACAGGAUUAGAUACCCUGGUA
Molecule: ribosomal RNA, 434 nt
Filed under: uncultured Lachnospiraceae bacterium
Lineage: Bacteria; Bacillati; Bacillota; Clostridia; Lachnospirales; Lachnospiraceae
Description: bacterial SSU rRNA
Rfam family: Bacterial small subunit ribosomal RNA
Source: RNAcentral